RNAcentral lists this ribosomal RNA (429 nucleotides) under Pseudomonadota bacterium. Its description in RNAcentral is "Proteobacteria bacterium partial 16S ribosomal RNA". It matches the Rfam family "Bacterial small subunit ribosomal RNA", at positions 355 to 776 of the family's 1533-position model. The record is from RNAcentral. Lineage: Bacteria; Pseudomonadati; Pseudomonadota.
UGGGGAAUAUUGGACAAUGGGCGAAAGCCUGAUCCAGCCAUGCCGCGUGUGUGAAGAAGGUCUUCGGAUUGUAAAGCACUUUAAGUUGGGAGGAAGGGCAGUAAGCGAAUACCUUGCUGUUUUGACGUUACCGACAGAAUAAGCACAGGCUAACUCUGUGCCAGCAGCCGCGGUAAUACAGAGGGUGCAAGCGUUAAUCGGAAUUACUGGGCGUAAAGCGCGCGUAGGUGGUUCGUUAAGUUGAAUGUGAAAGCCCCGGGCUCAACCUGGGACCUGCAUCCAAAUCUGGCGAGCUAUAGUAGGGCAGAGGGUGGUGGAAUUUCCUGUGUAGCGGUGAAAUGCAUAGAUAUAGGAAGGAACACCAGUGGCGAAGGCGACCACCUGGGCUCAUACUGACACUGAGGUGCGAAAGCGUGGGGAGCAAACAGG